Long non-coding RNA from Homo sapiens (human), 1562 nucleotides. Ensembl annotates it as long intergenic non-protein coding RNA 2395. The record is from Ensembl. NCBI's taxonomy places the organism in Eukaryota, Metazoa, Chordata, Mammalia, Primates, Hominidae.
GGGAGAGGGGGAGGGGCUGCUGAGGAAGGCCACAGGGGCUAAGGAGGAUUUCCUCAGAGCUUUUGGGAAGCUAUACGUUCCUGGCCCCGAGGUAAAGCUCCCACAGGCUGCUUGACCCAACAGAGCAGCUCCUACCCACUGGGAUUCUCGGUCUGCAGGAAUCUGGCAUCCACCUGGGGAGCAUCUGGCUGAGGCAGCCUGGAGACAGGCACGCACCAGAAGACUUCUGGUUCCAUCCAGGCCCAAGGACCACUGAACUGGAGCGGUCUUCUCCAUCCCCCAGCAAGCCUGUGCGUGAGCUGGGGACAAGGGGCAGAGGAGGCAGAGGUCCCCCUCACACCAGGAAGGGAACAGCGCCACUAAAGGGCCUGGUGGAGGCAGGGUGGAGGUGGAAGGAGACUCAGCAGAAGGGAUGAGGAAACUGAGGCUGAGAGGGUAGAGAACUUUGCCUGAGGUCACUCAGCAGGGACCCACCCAUCACAGUAAAUGCCAGCACUGCUGAUGCCAAAACAAUGUUAUUUGUAGGCCCUCGGAAUUUGUGACCUGAAGGAAGAAGAGCAGGGCCGUGGGAAGUAUGUAACCAGUGUCAUGCCCCUGGUCCCAAGGAAGCAGUGGCUUGGUAAAGAGGGGACCCCCGUCAAUAACUCCCUGUAAUUACUGGGCACCCACUCUGAGCUCCUCAGUGGAAUCCUAAGGUUAAUAAGACUGUCUCUAGCCACUGGGGCUCCCAGCCUGGAGUGAGGCCUGAACACCCUGUCCUACCUGGUCCUACCUGGAUGCUGGCCUCAGUAAGCUCCUGGGCUCAUUGAAGAUGAACCUAGCAGUAGUAUUUACACCACUUGUUGUGUGCCCACUGUGGGCCCGGCGCCAUGCCGAGUGCUCUAUGGAUGUGAGAUGAGAACACUGAAGCAGUUUUUUCUAAAGAUAGCUGCCUGGCACAGUGGCUCACAUCUGUAGUCCCAGCAUUUGGGGAGGCCAAGGCAGGUGGAUCACUUGAGGCCAGGAAUUCAAGACCAGCAUGGCCAACAUGUGCUGGGAGAGAAAAGCAUACGACAUAGACAGGGAGGUCAAGCUCCACCACGCAGAUGAGGUGCAGGCCACCAGUCUUCCUCUGCCACAUCUCUUUCUGAAAAGGACUUCACAUUCACCCUUGCAAUCCAUGUGGGGACACUGUUGGAUAGGAGGCGUGGUCCCAGCGUGGUCUCCCUGUCUGGGCCUCUGCCUAUGCCAAAUGUUUGCCUUACGCUGCACACUCAAGAGGUUCCAUGUAUACAGAUGGGAAUUCCAGAGCUACAGAAAAGGCAGCAAGCACCAUGAUUUAAGCUAACCAGUGUGGAUUCACACCUUCCUCUCUCUCUAUCAGUGGCAGAACUACCAGCUAGAGUAAGAAGUGGUUGAUCCAGGACCUAAACAUUCUGGAAACUCUUGCCCACUUCUGGGAGAAAUGACCCAAUCCAUAGUACUAAGCACACCUUAACUUUCGUAGGACGCAGGCAAGUUGUCAUACCGUGUGCCUAAAUAUAGAAAAAUGAUCCACUGGACUAAUAAAGUGUUAAAUAAAA